Molecule: ribosomal RNA, 262 nt
Filed under: uncultured prokaryote
Description: partial 16S ribosomal RNA
Rfam family: Bacterial small subunit ribosomal RNA
Source: RNAcentral
UACGGAGGAUCCGAGCGUUAUCCGGAUUUAUUGGGUUUAAAGGGUGCGCAGGCGGAAGAUUAAGUCGGUGGUGAAAUUUUGCAGCUCAACUGUAAAAGUGCCAUUGAUACUGGUUUUCUUGAGUGUGGAUGAAGUAGGCGGAAUUUGUGGUGUAGCGGUGAAAUGCAUAGAUAUCAUGAGGAACUCCGAUUGCGCAGGCAGCUUACUAAACCAUAACUGACGCUCAGGCACGAAGGCGUGGGGAGUCAAACAGGAUUAGAUA